CACGCAGUAAACGAUGAAUACUAGCUGUAUGCGAUAUACUGUAUGUGGCACAGCGAAAGCGUUAAGUAUUCCACCUGGGGAGUACGUUCGCAAGAAUGAAACUCAAAGGAAUUGACGGGGGCCCGCACAAGCGGAGGAACAUGUGGUUUAAUUCGAUGAUACGCGAGGAACCUUACCCGGGCUUGAAAUGCAUCUGACCGACUUGGAAACAGGUCUUCUAGCAAUAGCAGAUGUGUAGGUGC
Molecule: ribosomal RNA, 242 nt
Filed under: uncultured bacterium
Lineage: Bacteria
Description: partial 16S ribosomal RNA
Rfam family: Bacterial small subunit ribosomal RNA
Source: RNAcentral